This 1386-nucleotide ribosomal RNA is filed under the name metagenome. Its description in RNAcentral is "SSU rRNA". It matches the Rfam family "Eukaryotic small subunit ribosomal RNA", at positions 1 to 1443 of the family's 1831-position model. The record is from RNAcentral.
UCUGGUUGAUCCUGCCAGUAGUCAUAUGCUUGUCUCAAAGAUUAAGCCAUGCAUGUCUAAGUAUAAAUAGUAUACAGUGAAACUGCGAAUGGCUCAUUAAAACAGUUAUAGUUUAUUUGAUAAUUGACAAUUACAUGGAUAACCGUGGUAAUUCUAGAGCUAAUACAUGCUUAAACGCCCGACUUUAUGGAAGGGUGGUAUUUAUUAGACUGAAGCCAAUAUUCCUUGUGUCUAUUGCGGUGAUUCAUAAUAACUGAUCGAAUCUCUUUUUGAGAUAAAUCAUUCAAGUUUCUGCCCUAUCAGCUUUCGAUGGUAGUGUAUUGGACUACCAUGGCAGUAACGGGUAACGAGGAAUUAGGGUUCGAUUUCGGAGAGGGAGCAUGAGAAACGGCUACCACAUCUAAGGAAGGCAGCAGGCGCGUAAAUUACCCAAUCCUGACUCAGGGAGGUAGUGACAAGAAAUAGCAAACCGGGAACCUCAUGGUUUCACGGUAUUGCAAUGAGAACAAUUUAAAACCCUUAGCGAGAAUCAAGUGGAGGACAAGUCUGGUGCCAGCACCCGCGGUAAUUCCAGCUCCACUAGCGUAUAUUAAAGUUGUUGCAGUUAAAAAGCUCGUAGUUGAACCUCUGUCUGGGGCUAGUUUUGGCUUUGGUCAGGCUAGUUCUAGGCAUCCGCCUACAAGACUUAGAGGGCAUUCAGUUGUUCACUAGGAGGAGUAGGCAUUUUACUUUGAAAAAAUUAGAGUGUUUAAGGCAGGCAAUCGCCCGCAUAUAUUAGCAUGGAAUAAUAGAAUAGGACACUUUUCCAUUUCGUUGGUUAUUGGAAUCGUGUAAUGAUUAAUAGGGACAGUUGUGGGCAUUUGUAUUUAAUUGUCAGAGGUGAAAUUCUUGGAUUUAUUAAAGACAAACUAACGCGAAAGCAUUUGCCAAGGAUGUUUUCAUUAAUCAAGAACGAAAGUUAGGGGAUCAAAGACGAUCAGAUACCGUCCUAGUCUUAACUAUAAACUAUUCCGACUCAAUGUUUGACUGGCUUAUAUAACCAGUUGAGCGUUGUAUGAGAAAUCAAAGUCUUUAGGUUCUGGGGGGAGUAUGGUUGCAAAGCUGAAACUUAAAGGAAUUGACGGAAGAGCACAACCAGGAGUGGAUUCUGCGGCUUAAUUUGACUCAACACGGGGAAACUUACCAGGUUAAAACAAUAGUGGGAUUGACAGUUUGAGAGCGCUUUCUUGAUUGGUUGGGUGGUGGUGCAUGGCCGUUCUUAGUUGGUGGAGUGAUUUGUCUGCUUAAUUGCGUUAACGAACGAGACCUUAACCUGCUUACUAGACUGGCGAUCAUCAAUCGUUAGCUCUUCUUAGAGGGACUUUGGUUGUUUUAACUCCAAGGAAG